RNAcentral lists this ribosomal RNA (433 nucleotides) under Enterobacter sp. RNAcentral's name for it is "bacterial SSU rRNA". It matches the Rfam family "Bacterial small subunit ribosomal RNA", at positions 56 to 482 of the family's 1533-position model. Lineage: Bacteria; Pseudomonadati; Pseudomonadota; Gammaproteobacteria; Enterobacterales; Enterobacteriaceae. The record is from RNAcentral.
UGCAGUCGACGGUAGCACAGAGAGCUUGCUCUCGGGUGACGAGUGGCGGACGGGUGAGUAAUGUCUGGGAAACUGCCUGAUGGAGGGGGAUAACUACUGGAAACGGUAGCUAAUACCGCAUAACGUCGCAAGACCAAAGAGGGGGACCUUCGGGCCUCUUGCCAUCAGAUGUGCCCAGAUGGGAUUAGCUAGUAGGUGGGGUAACGGCUCACCUAGGCGACGAUCCCUAGCUGGUCUGAGAGGAUGACCAGCCACACUGGAACUGAGACACGGUCCAGACUCCUACGGGAGGCAGCAGUGGGGAAUAUUGCACAAUGGGCGCAAGCCUGAUGCAGCCAUGCCGCGUGUAUGAAGAAGGCCUUCGGGUUGUAAAGUACUUUCAGCGGGGAGGAAGGUGUUGUGGUUAAUAACCGCAGCAAUUGACGUUACCCGC